UCUUUUUUUAUAUUGUUUUUUUUCUUUUUUUGUUGUUUUGUUUUUCUCC
RNAcentral lists this non-coding RNA (49 nucleotides) under Lotharella globosa. The record is from RNAcentral. Lineage: Eukaryota; Cercozoa; Chlorarachniophyceae.